Molecule: ribosomal RNA, 520 nt
Filed under: Streptomyces rishiriensis
Lineage: Bacteria; Bacillati; Actinomycetota; Actinomycetes; Kitasatosporales; Streptomycetaceae
Description: bacterial SSU rRNA
Rfam family: Bacterial small subunit ribosomal RNA
Source: RNAcentral
CCACUUCGGUGGGGAUUAGUGGCGAACGGGUGAGUAACACGUGGGCAAUCUGCCCUUCACUCUGGGACAAGCCCUGGAAACGGGGUCUAAUACCGGAUGAUACUUCCACUCGCAUGGGUGGGGGUUGAAAGCUCCGGCGGUGAAGGAUGAGCCCGCGGCCUAUCAGCUUGUUGGUGAGGUAGUGGCUCACCAAGGCGACGACGGGUAGCCGGCCUGAGAGGGCGACCGGCCACACUGGGACUGAGACACGGCCCAGACUCCUACGGGAGGCAGCAGUGGGGAAUAUUGCACAAUGGGCGAAAGCCUGAUGCAGCGACGCCGCGUGAGGGAUGACGGCCUUCGGGUUGUAAACCUCUUUCAGCAGGGAAGAAGCGAAAGUGACGGUACCUGCAGAAGAAGCGCCGGCUAACUACGUGCCAGCAGCCGCGGUAAUACGUAGGGCGCAAGCGUUGUCCGGAAUUAUUGGGCGUAAAGAGCUCGUAGGCGGUCUGUCGCGUCGGAUGUGAAAGCCCGGGGCUUA